UACGUAGGGGGCAAGCGUUGUCCGGAUUUAUUGGGCGUAAAGCGCUCGCAGGUGGUUCGUCGCGUCGUGCGUGAAAGACCCCGGCUCAACUGGGGGAGGUCGUGCGAUACGGGCGGACUGGAGGCCAGUAGGGGGAUGCGGAAUUCCGGGUGUAGUGGUGGAAUGCGUAGAGAUCCGGAGGAACACCAGCGGCGAAGGCGGCAUCCUGGACUGGUCCUGACACUCAUGAGCGAAAGCGUGGGGAGCGAACAGG
Molecule: ribosomal RNA, 253 nt
Filed under: uncultured bacterium
Lineage: Bacteria
Description: partial 16S ribosomal RNA
Rfam family: Bacterial small subunit ribosomal RNA
Source: RNAcentral